UUUUUGGAUUUGUACAGUUGCAAAAUGUACCCAGACUUGGAGAGCACCACCACCGAGACGCUUGUCCUCGGCGUUGCUCCGGCCAUGAGCUCUCAGUACGAGGCUUCCGGCGAGACUUUCGUCGCCGAGAACGAUGCCUGCAAGUGCGGAUCUGACUGCAAGUGCAACCCUUGCACCUGCAAAUGAACAACUCCUCUCAUGAACCCUAAACCCAGUGUCUUGUCUGUAAUAACCCUAAUGUUAUGUUAGGUUUCGUUAUGUGUAAUAAUGGCUCAUUUCGCCGGUAGUUUUACCGGAGAACGUUGGUCUUU
This 311-nucleotide long non-coding RNA is filed under the name Capsella grandiflora. RNAcentral describes it as "long non-coding RNA (CGRA_LNC001296)". The record is from RNAcentral. Lineage: Eukaryota; Viridiplantae; Streptophyta; Magnoliopsida; Brassicales; Brassicaceae.